Asterias rubens (European starfish) is the source of this 788-nucleotide long non-coding RNA. RefSeq lists it as uncharacterized. The transcript is spliced from 6 exons. The record is from RefSeq and is a predicted model, not a curated record. Lineage: Eukaryota; Metazoa; Echinodermata; Asteroidea; Forcipulatida; Asteriidae.
UCGUUCAGCGCACGUGUGAAUGUUUUUAAGUCUUUCAGACGAUGGGAAAAUGUCCCCAAAUUACAUGUAUUUUGUUGCACUUCACCAAGUUGGCAAGUUCCACGAGAAUUGUAGAUCAUUUUGGAAGUUUCCAGAUCUGGCUGAGCCUCUUUAAGUUUUGUGCAUUGAAUUGAUACAAAACGCUCCUUUUAUAAACUUGACAAAUUUCACCUGAAUCCGUGCAAAGGAAGUUUCCAGAUCUGACUGAGCCUUUUCUAGUUUUGCUCAUUGAUACAAAACGCUCCUUUUCUGUGCUUGAUGAAUUUCUCAAUGUAUCUGUGCAAAGGAAGUUUCCAGAUCUGACUGAGCCUCUUCAAGUUUUGUACAUUGGUACAAAAUGCUCCUUUUCUGUGCUUGAUAAAUUUCUCCAUGAAUCUGUGCAAAGGAAGUUUCCAGAUCUGACUGAGCCUUUUCAAGUUUUGCUCAUUGAUACAAAAUGAUCAUUUUCUGUGCUUGAUGAAUUUCUCUGUGAAUCCGUGCAAAGGAAGUUUACAGAACUGACUGAGGCUCUUCAAGUUUUGUACAUUGAUACAAAAUGCUCCUUUUCUGAACUUGGUAAAAUUCUCCACGCCUUGUGGAAUGCUUGGAAGUCCACAGUCAAACGGGAAACCAUCGUGGACUGGGCAUAGCCUACGGGAACAUCGGUACGGUGUACCGAGCCAUGGGUACGUUGUGUAAUGUUUGUUAUUGAGACAUUAAUGAGCCAGUCAGCAUUCUCCCUUAAGGCAGUGGACACUAUUGGUUAUUGU